AGUGAACGCUGGCGGUAGGCCUAACACAUGCAAGUCGAACGGCAGCACAGUAAGAGCUUGCUCUUACGGGUGGCGAGUGGCGGACGGGUGAGGAAUACAUCGGAAUCUACUUUUUCGUGGGGGAUAACGUAGGGACACUUACGCUAAUACCGCAUACGACCUACGGGUGAAAGCAGGGGAUCUUCGGACCUUGCCCGAUUGAAUGAGCCGAUGUCGGAUUAGCUAGUUGGCGGGGUAAAGGCCCACCAAGGCGACGAUCCGUAGCUGGUCUGAGAGGAUGAUCAGCCACACUGGAACUGAGACACGGUCCAGACUCCUACGGGAGGCAGCAGUGGGGAAUAUUGGACAAUGGGCGCAAGCCUGAUCCAGCCAUACCGCGUGGGUGAAGAAGGCCUUCGGGUUGUAAAGCCCUUUUGUUGGGAAAGAAAAGCAGCAGGUUAAUACCCCGCUGUUCUGACGGUACCCAAAGAAUAAGCACCGGCUAACUUCGUG
RNAcentral lists this ribosomal RNA (492 nucleotides) under uncultured bacterium. RNAcentral's name for it is "partial 16S ribosomal RNA". It matches the Rfam family "Bacterial small subunit ribosomal RNA", at positions 29 to 507 of the family's 1533-position model. The record is from RNAcentral.